Molecule: long non-coding RNA, 1617 nt
Organism: Musa acuminata AAA Group (dessert banana)
Lineage: Eukaryota; Viridiplantae; Streptophyta; Magnoliopsida; Zingiberales; Musaceae
Exons: 7
Source: RefSeq, a predicted model, not a curated record
AUCGGUGAUGUUGAGAGCCGUCGGGAAAGUGAUAGAGAGAGACGAGCUGGGUCGAGGGCGGAGAGAGGGAGAGCUAAGGGAGAGGGGAGGUGAUUCUGUUGGGGAGAAGUAGAGAGCGGGGGAAGGUGGUUGUAUCACUGGCCUUCGGGUUGUCGACAGACACUGAGAGAGAGAGAGGUACUGUUGUCAGAGGUGAGGGGAAGAAUGCGGCGAGGGAGACAAAAGAGGGAGUUACUACAACGAGAUGUGUAGGAGGAGGGGACAAUACGACACGAGCAUGAGGAUUGAUACCAUUCAUAUAAUUGGUUGGUUAUUUUUUUUACCUCUUUCAUUAUUUUAAACCUCUCAUUUUGUGCAUUGAGAAAGAAAAAUCUGGUUUUAAAAUGAUUAAUGCAAGUGAAUAUGCCAUUUCAAGCAUUCAACUUUACUAUGUCUUUUUUUUGGUUUUAUAUUGAAGUAUGCUAAUAUUUUGUAAUUAAUUGUACUUUCUCUGUGAUACUGCUUCGAUCUGAGCUUCGCACUGUGGAGCAUUUUUGAAAGUCUUCUCAAGAUUGUAUCUUGAUCUUGUACGGUACUAAAUAUUUGUCCAGCGUUGUGCAGGAGAGAAGAUCAAGGAAAGCAUGCAAUCAUGUGGAAAAUGAAAAAUAAGCUUGUAGUAAACUGGUGUGAGCUAUGAUGAUGGAUGGUUUUGGUACUUGCUAGUUGCUGCAUCUAUUGGUUCAUUUGUCCUCGGCAGAAAAUCGGAACUUUGACAUAUUCCAAGAUUGGCAGUACACAAGAACCUUAAGCGAUGUGGGACUGACGAAGUGCAUUGAUGAGAAUAAGACCUGGUGGCUGCUUUGAAGCAUUUUAUUAGUGUCGAGGAUACGCAUUGGUGGUUUGAGUUUUGAGUGUGGUAUAAUGAAAUUCAUGGAUGCCCCUUUUAUUGUCAAUUCAUAGAUGGCAACAGGGAAAUAGGUACUCUAAUCGGGUGCUGGAUGAGUUUUGGUACAAGUAUCUUGCUUUUGCGAUUGGAUGGGUUUUGGCACAUUGCAUUUUGGAUUCAUGAAUUGCUGGCAUAACACUUUUUUUUGCAGUGUAGUGCAUGUUCUACUCUCAAAUGGUGAUUGUGCAUUUUUGAGGUGAUUGUGCAGCUCCCAAAUGGUUCAAAUAUUGGACAAAAACUUGCAUACUACAUACUACCUGUUGAGGGUCCUGCUUUUCUUUGUGGCACAAAUUAGUAUUCUAGAGUCAGUGAAACAGCUAGUGAAAGAGACAUGACGGCCAAAGGACAUCUUUUCUGCAUCAUAAUCCAAGAGAAAGGAUUGCUACAGCAUCUCGUGGCACUUACUAGGUGAGAUACACUGACGCACACAAUUCACAAACCGUGAAAGCUUUGAUGGAUCAGCUGCAGCUACUCAUAUAUCCUUGGUUUUGUGGUUGUAGUAGCAGUAGGAGGGCAGCAGCCAUCCUCGUCUUCCCCAAUCUCAAUCUCCCUUGGCUUCCUUCUCCUUAGGCUUGCUGUUCUUCUUCGUCUUCAUGAAGCAGAAGCAGGAGCAGCAUGGGCACUGAAACAAGAACUUCAUGGCGUGUACCCUCCUAUGUUUUCUGAUCAAGGAAACUAUAUGACCUCAGUCU